This is a non-coding RNA of Triticum urartu, 118 nucleotides long. NCBI's taxonomy places the organism in Eukaryota, Viridiplantae, Streptophyta, Magnoliopsida, Poales, Poaceae. The record is from Rfam.
AACAUACUCCCUCCAUCCGAAAAUACAUGUCAUCAAAAUAGAUAGAAAGAGAUGUAUCUAGAUACAUCCUCCUUUAUCUAUUUUGAUGACAAGUAUUUCCGAACGGAGGGAGUACAAU